CGCGCUUUUCUCACAGACUGCGUCCCUUGCCACAAAUCUACCGACGAUAGCGAGAUUAGGGCAGCAACAACCACCGUCUCCGGCCAUACGGAUUUGCUUCUUCUGCCAUCCGGAGCCUUUGAGCCCGAACUUUAGCUUGUACAUUCACCAAUGCCUGCAUGCACCUAAGGGUUGCAGUGGCCUGUUUCCUCACCAGGUAAGGCUGCAUGAGGCAAGAAGCAUAGAGGAAGCUCCCCACAUAAGCCAUUUGCCAUCCUCUUAGAAGAUUAUUGGCUAAGAUUCCUUGCUUCACUUGGAUUAUUCAGCAAUCAAUUUUGUCCUUGUAGGUAUUUUCUAUCUUUCUUUGGGAAUGGGACCCAGUUGGUUUGGAAUUGACUGUGCUGGAGACAGUACUGCUUAUGAGGAAGAGAGUAUGUGAACAGUGAUUGUGGGGGCUUAUUAAUUAAGGCUCUCAAUUGUUGGUUUUACUUAGCUAUAUGAUGCUCAUUUUCAAGGACCAUCUGUGGUACUGUUCAUGUAUGAAAGGUGUUAAAUUUGAUGUAGAUUUCUCUUUUUGGAUUGUAGCACAUUUCGACAGUGUUGUGAAUGAUUUCCAGGAAACUGUGUUUUUCACUAACGCAAAUCGAAAUACAUAUAUUUUAUUACUGCAUGCAUUUUGUAGGCAACUACUAGUUAAAUUUGAAGAGAAAAUUAGGUACGCUGAACUUUUAGUCAGGAUAACGUGAUGGAGGGAACAACGCGUUGUUGGCUGAGAUGGUAAAUUUGACCGCGAUAACUCUUAGUGCAAGUGAGAA
Long non-coding RNA from Tripterygium wilfordii, 794 nucleotides. RefSeq lists it as uncharacterized. Lineage: Eukaryota; Viridiplantae; Streptophyta; Magnoliopsida; Celastrales; Celastraceae. The record is from RefSeq and is a predicted model, not a curated record. The transcript has 4 exons.